GUGUGUGUGUGUGUGUGUGUUUUACAAAGUAAAAUAGCCUAGGUGUGUGUGUGUGUGUGUUUUACAAAGUAAAAUAGCCUAGGUGUGUGCGUGCGUGUGUUUCACAAAGUAAAACUAGAGCGAGAGGCUUUUUGCACUGACACCGGCUGUCACCAGCGACUGAGCUGUGCAUGGUGAGUCAGUGGAUUAUAAUUUCCUCCUCAUAUUGUAGCCUACAAUAUGUCUCCACAAGCCUAGGCUAUUGAUGCAGUCGUUUUCAUUGGUCUCAGUUUGUCAGUGUCAAUGUAUCCUGUCAUUUAGAUAAUUUGUGCAGUAUUAAAAAAGGUUCUUCCAAAGUCUCCAGUCAUGUAAAAAAUGACAGAAUUGCAAGAAAUGCAUUUAUAAAAGGCACAUUUCUUUCCAGAACCUAGGCAACUAAAAAUGUUCCACGUGUGUGCAGCUGUUGUCAGUCCCUCUACUGCUCUAUGCCAAUACACAAAGGUGAUGAUAUGCCUACAAUACUUUUUAUUAUAAAGGGGAUUCUUUUUUUAUGUGUUCCGAUACCUAAGAGCAAGGUUGCAGAGCCCCCCCCCAGGUGCCGAUUUACAAAUUAAGCACUGGUUGGGUGUACCUAAUAAACUGUUCCGUGAGUGUAUGUGUUCAUUGUAAAACGAGGAUCAAUGGCUCA
Oncorhynchus masou masou (cherry salmon) is the source of this 667-nucleotide long non-coding RNA. RefSeq lists it as uncharacterized. The transcript is spliced from 2 exons. NCBI's taxonomy places the organism in Eukaryota, Metazoa, Chordata, Actinopteri, Salmoniformes, Salmonidae. The record is from RefSeq and is a predicted model, not a curated record.